Molecule: long non-coding RNA, 1423 nt
Organism: Lineus longissimus
Lineage: Eukaryota; Metazoa; Nemertea; Pilidiophora; Heteronemertea; Lineidae
Exons: 3
Source: RefSeq, a predicted model, not a curated record
GAUGUCCGUUGUCACUGAUAUAUAAAUCAAGGAGUUCUGCUGUCUCUCUCAUUGUGAAGGAAACAUCAUCGCGGACAGUUCGACGGAUUUUAUAAGUACUACGCGCAGAAAAUAACCAUGAACUGUUACGUCAAGCUCAGCAUCAUUUUGUGUUUUUGCUCCCUCCUGGUCUGCGGGCAGGCCUCCCAGGGCAUAGAUAAACUCCUCAAGUCACCGAACCUACUCUUCGGCCGAAAAAGGAGCCCGGACCCAGCAGGCAGUAACCUCUUCUUCGGCAGACGAUCAUUCGAACCACAACAAUAUGGCCGCCAGUUUUGUGCAAAUGUCAUCGAAACGUGUCGAUAUUGGUACGAGCAAAACAAUGACGUCAGCGCCACUGAACAGAGUUAAAGACGUAACCAAACCAUCCCAGUCGCUCGAUUCGGCUUUUUCUACACGACCAAAAGAUUUCUUGACCUUACGUAGAGAUGAUGACCGAUCACUUCCAAGGCGCCGUUUCCCAUAAGCUGUGGCAGAUCUAAGCCUCAAAAUGGCGCAUCUGCCGUAUGAUAUUUCUUGCUUGAACACUUUUCAAGCACAAAAGUGUUAAAGUUGUCAGUGGUGAUACUUUCAAUUACAAAAACUCUACUCGGGGAAUAUUGUAUCAUCGGGACAUUUCCGUGGUUGCCCACCAGUUGUCACACCGACCUGCUAGACUGUUUCCAAUUUGUAGUGUUAACCCCCUAACUCCGAGCCCUGGGUUUGAGUGAUGCCCCGUUAGGUACCUUCUAGUUCAGAGUGCCAGCGGUGCAUGGCAUAUGCACUAUGAGAAGCUUUCUCUGUAGUACUCAAAUAGCAUCUGAUAAGGCGACCUAUUUACUUUGACAUUUUUUCCAAAGCUGGGAGCUCCUUGAAAUAUGGGACCGGUGUAGAUCCCCUCCUCAGACGAAAACCCCACAAUAAGAUUCUGGUGUAAGUACUUAUUUUUUUUCCUUUAGCAACUGUUGCCAGAGUCUUGUAUUCAGUUUUUCUACAAUCUGGUUUAAGAUAGCAGCCAUGAUCUCUGAAGAAUCUUUUAAACAUGGUAUAGGGAACUAAAUACUACUGCCAACCGCCACAUUUUCACGACUGUUUUAUCCUCAACCAAAAUUCGCAAAAAUAUAAGUUGCGAAAAAAAUUGUUGAUUGGGAAAACCGAAUGAAAUUCGUAAUUGGCAGAAAUCUUCGCGAAUUGCAUGAAAUGGAGACGCGAAAAUGUUGCAAAUUACAGUACCAUAAACCAGAGAACAGAAGAGUCGGAACGGGUUAAUCAUCAGUUUUUCAUCUUGAAAUAAAUCAUUUCUCCAUUCUGUGACCUGACUCAUGUAAUAAUGACGUCGCUCUGCCGCAUGUGCGAUAAAUCAGAACUUGUAAUAGUUAAUACAAUAAAUAGUUUAUCUUAGAAA